RNAcentral lists this ribosomal RNA (465 nucleotides) under uncultured bacterium. Its description in RNAcentral is "partial 16S ribosomal RNA". It matches the Rfam family "Bacterial small subunit ribosomal RNA", at positions 28 to 507 of the family's 1533-position model. The record is from RNAcentral.
GACGAACGCUGGCGGCGUGCUUAACACAUGCAAGUCGAAUGGAAAGGCCCUGCUUGCAGGGUACUCGAGUGGCGAACGGGUGAGUAACACGUGGGUGAUCUGCCCUGCACUUCGGGAUAAGCCUGGGAAACUGGGUCUAAUACCGGAUAGGAGCCAUUUUUAGUGUGAUGGUUGGAAAGUUUUUUCGGUGUAGGAUGAGCUCGCGGCCUAUCAGCUUGUUGGUGGGGUAAUGGCCUACCAAGGCGGCGACGGGUAGCCGGCCUGAGAGGGUGGACGGCCACAUUGGGACUGAGAUACGGCCCAGACUCCUACGGGAGGCAGCAGGGGGGAAUAUUGCACAAUGGGCGCAAGCCUGAUGCAGCGACGCCGCGUGGGGGAUGACGGCCUUCGGGUUGUAAACUCCUUUCGCUAGGGACGAAGCUUUUUGUGACGGUACCUAGAUAAGAAGCACCGGCUAACUACGUG